GUCUCCUUGGGAGCACCGGGGGCUCUGGCAGGGGGAUCGGAGCUAUGAACAGCAGACAGCAUGACCGGGAGAUGCGGAUUUCCAGCCCAAAGUCAUAACCUCUGCAGUUAGUUUUCUGGUGCUCAAAAUCUCCAAAUUAGAGCUUCAUUCCUCUGGCUUGAACAAAAAAAGGCACUGACAUCUGUUAACCAGCAGCGCUCAGAACUAUGCUAAAACAAUCUGAAAGCAACAGAAGCACUUCAAUGUUAGUUGAUUGAGAAAGAAAGAAAAUGAAGAAUGGUAACUGACACUACAAAGCAACCCGGCUCAUGCAGGAUCCUUCUGCAUAAUUGAGGGGUGGCUGCUUUUAAAUAAACAAGGAUGAAGACCAAUUACAGAGCACUGAAGAUGGUGAAUGAGGAUCUAGAUGCCUUCUGAACACCGUGUCUCUAUAAAAGAAACAGAUGGGGCAGUGGGUAAAGAAUGGGCUCCUAUCUGCCAAGGGACUUCUUACUGGUGGAGUGACUUCCAGCAAGUAAAUCAUCUCUCUGCAUCUCAGCCUUCGCAAUAAACUGGAGACUAUGGCACCUGAAGU
Molecule: non-coding RNA, 574 nt
Organism: Phascolarctos cinereus (koala)
Lineage: Eukaryota; Metazoa; Chordata; Mammalia; Diprotodontia; Phascolarctidae
Source: RefSeq, a predicted model, not a curated record